RNAcentral lists this transfer RNA (83 nucleotides) under Hestiella sp. (SeqCode). RNAcentral describes it as "Candidatus Hestiella sp. tRNA-Ser". It matches the Rfam family "tRNA". Rfam says of the family: Transfer RNA (tRNA) molecules are approximately 80 nucleotides in length. Their secondary structure includes four short double-helical elements and three loops (D, anti-codon, and T loops). Further hydrogen bonds mediate the characteristic L-shaped molecular structure. tRNAs have two regions of fundamental functional importance: the anti-codon, which is responsible for specific mRNA codon recognition, and the 3' end, to which the tRNAs corresponding amino acid is attached (by aminoacyl-tRNA synthetases). tRNAs cope with the degeneracy of the genetic code in two manners: having more than one tRNA (with a specific anti-codon) for a particular amino acid; and 'wobble' base-pairing, i.e. permitting non-standard base-pairing at the 3rd anti-codon position. Lineage: Archaea; Thermoproteati; Thermoproteota; Thermoprotei; Acidilobales; Acidilobaceae. The record is from RNAcentral.
GCCGGCGUAGCCUAGCCUGGUAAGGCGGUGGCCUCGAGAGCCACUGGGCUUUGCCCACGCAGGUUCGAAUCCUGCCGCCGGCG